RNAcentral lists this ribosomal RNA (301 nucleotides) under uncultured bacterium. RNAcentral describes it as "partial 16S ribosomal RNA". It matches the Rfam family "Bacterial small subunit ribosomal RNA", at positions 509 to 808 of the family's 1533-position model. The record is from RNAcentral.
CAGUAGCCGCGGGAAUACGUAGGUGGCAAGCGUUGUCCGGAAUUAUUGGGCGUAAAGGGCUCGCAGGCGGUUUCUUAAGUCUGAUGUGAAAGCCCCCGGCUCAACCGGGGAGGGUCAUUGGAAACUGGGAAACUUGAGUGCAGAAGAGGAGAGUGGAAUUCCACGUGUAGCGGUGAAAUGCGUAGAGAUGUGGAGGAACACCAGUGGCGAAGGCGACUCUCUGGUCUGUAACUGACGCUGAGGAGCGAAAGCGUGGGGAGCGAACAGGAUUAGAUACCCUGUAGUCCCUGUCUCUUAUACC